CGCCCGCCUCAGCCUCCCAAAGUGCUGGGAUUACAGGCGUGAGCCACUGCGCCCGGCCAAUGCAUGGAAAUGUUUAUG
Molecule: microRNA precursor, 78 nt
Filed under: Chlorocebus sabaeus (green monkey)
Lineage: Eukaryota; Metazoa; Chordata; Mammalia; Primates; Cercopithecidae
Description: miRNA (ENSCSAG00000021298.1)
Source: RNAcentral